UACGUAGGGACCGAGCGUUGUCCGGAUUCAUUGGGCGUAAAGAGCUCGUAGGCGGUCUGUCGCGUCUGCUGUGAAAACUCAGGGCUUAACCCUGAGCUUGCAGUGGGUACGGGCAGACUAGAGUGCGGUAGGGGAGACUGGAAUUCCUGGUGUAGCGGUGAAAUGCGCAGAUAUCAGGAGGAACACCGGUGGCGAAGGCGGGUCUCUGGGCCGUAACUGACGCUGAGGAGCGAAAGCAUGGGGAGCGAACAGG
RNAcentral lists this ribosomal RNA (253 nucleotides) under uncultured bacterium. RNAcentral describes it as "partial 16S ribosomal RNA". It matches the Rfam family "Bacterial small subunit ribosomal RNA", at positions 524 to 776 of the family's 1533-position model. The record is from RNAcentral.